RNAcentral lists this ribosomal RNA (571 nucleotides) under Biscogniauxia mediterranea. Its description in RNAcentral is "eukaryotic LSU rRNA". It matches the Rfam family "Eukaryotic large subunit ribosomal RNA", at positions 36 to 631 of the family's 3401-position model. The record is from RNAcentral. Lineage: Eukaryota; Fungi; Ascomycota; Sordariomycetes; Xylariales; Xylariaceae.
AAGCAUAUCAAUAAGCGGAGGAAAAGAAACCAACAGGGAUUGCCCUAGUAACGGCGAGUGAAGCGGCAACAGCUCAAAUUUGAAAUCUGGCCUUCGGGUCCGAGUUGUAAUUUGUAGAGGAUGCUUUUGGCGCGGUGCCUUCCGAGUUCCCUGGAACGGGACGCCUUAGAGGGUGAGAGCCCCGUACGGUUGGACACCAAGCCUCUGUAAAGCUCCUUCGACGAGUCGAGUAGUUUGGGAAUGCUGCUCUAAAUGGGAGGUAAAUUUCUUCUAAAGCUAAAUACCGGCCAGAGACCGAUAGCGCACAAGUAGAGUGAUCGAAAGAUGAAAAGCACUUUGAAAAGAGGGUUAAAUAGCACGUGAAAUUGUUGAAAGGGAAGCGUUUACGGCCAGACCUUUUCCUGGCGGAUCAUCUGGUGUUCUCACCAGUGCACUCCGCCAGGUUUAGGCCAGCAUCGGCUCCCGUAGGGGGAUAAAAGCAGUGGGAAAGUAGCUCCCUCGGGAGUGUUAUAGCCCGCUGCACAAUACCCUUACAGGGGCCGAGGACCGCGCUUUUGCAAGGAUGCUGGCG